AUUUUUUUUCUAUAGUUCAAAUAAUCCAAGAUAAUCAAAUAUCUUCUAUCUCAAACUUUUCAUGUUGGAUUCACCAAAUAUGUCGUAAUACGUGAAAUCUUACUUAAGAAUGUUCUCAGCACUUGGCUGUAGAAGGUAGAAUAAAAAUUGCUACAAAAAAAUCUUAAUUCUAAUAGAACACUAAUAAUGUGAAACAAGCUUUAAUAAAAUUUACAGAAACUUCAAAAGAAUUACAAAGAAACAAUAAGAAAUUUUAAAGAAAUAUUAGAAUGAUUACAAACAUAUCUCAAAUACAUCUCAAUUCAAUCUUAAUUUAAUUCUAGUUGAAAUCCUAUUAGACUUCAUUCAAAAUUUAGGCCAAAAACUAACUAAAUUUUAAAUCCUAAAUAAACUCAAAUAAAAUCCUAAACUUUAAAUCAAACCCUAAUCAAUCCUAAAUUCUAAACCAAAUCCUAAUUAAAUCCUAAUCCUAAAUCAAAUCCUAAUCAAAUUCUAAAUCCGAAACCAAACCCUAAUCCUAAAUAAAACCUUAAUCAAACCAUAACUCUAAAUCAAAUCCUAAACCAAAUCUUAACCAAAUUCUAAUCCUAACCAAAUUCUAAAUCCUAAAUCAAAUCCUAAUCCUAAAUCCUAACCUUUAAUCAAAUCCUAACCAAAUCCUAAACCCUAAAUCAAAUCCUAAUC
Molecule: long non-coding RNA, 684 nt
Filed under: Physcomitrium patens
Lineage: Eukaryota; Viridiplantae; Streptophyta; Bryopsida; Funariales; Funariaceae
Description: long non-coding RNA (PPAT_LNC012551)
Source: RNAcentral